GGAUGUGAGAGUGAUCUGCCUGCAACAUUUGUCACCCCAUUGAUCUCCAGGGUUGAUUUGGCUGAUCUGGCUGGCUAGGCGGGUGUCCCCUUCCUUCCUCACCACUCCAUGUGCGUCCCUCCCGAAGCUGCAUGUUUGGUCGAAGAGGACGGCCUUCCCCGAAUAGAGGCAGAGCAGUCUUUGGUCAAGGGUAUAAGAGUAACUGCGCUCCCCUGCUGGAACCUCCAAACAAGCUCUCAAGAAUAGGAAAGCUAUCAGGGGAGGGAAUGUGAUAUGGAGUUCUGGUGGUGGGAAUUGUGUGGAGUUGUACCCCUUUUAUC
Erinaceus europaeus (western European hedgehog) is the source of this 320-nucleotide unclassified non-coding RNA. Its record names the gene 7SK. It matches the Rfam family "7SK RNA". From Rfam's summary of the family: 7SK was discovered as an abundant small nuclear RNA in the mid-70s but a possible function has only recently been suggested. The record is from Ensembl. Lineage: Eukaryota; Metazoa; Chordata; Mammalia; Eulipotyphla; Erinaceidae.